UNAUGAGUAACGACAAUGGUGGAAAACACCCACGCCGAAAGACCAAGGGUUCCUGGCAACGUUAAUCGACGCAGGGUUAGUCGGUUCCUAAGGCGAGGCUGAAAAGCGUAGUCGAUGGAAACAGGUUAAUAUUCCUGUACUUGGUUACUGCGAUGGAGGGACGGAGAAGGCUAGGCCAGCUUGGCGUUGGUUGUCCAAGUUUAAGGUGGUAGGCUGAAAUCUUAGGUAAAUCCGGGGUUUCAAGGCCGAGCUGAUGACGAGUCGUCUUUAGAUGACGAAGUGGUUGAUGCCAUGCUUCAAGAAAAGCUUCUAAGCUUCAGGUAACCAGGAACUGUACCCCAAACCGACACAGGUGGUCGGGUAGAGAAUACUAAGGCGCUGAGAGAACUCGGGUGAAGGAACAGGCAAAAUGGCACCGUAACUUCGGGAGAAGGUGCGCCGGCUAGGGUGAAGGAUUUUCCGUAAGCUCUGGCUGGUCGAAGAUACCAGGCCGCUGCGACUGUUUAUUAAAACACAGCACUCUGCAAACACGAAAGUGGACGUAUAGGUGUGACGCCUGCCNGUGCCGGAAGGUUAAUUGAUGGGGUUAGCGCAAGCGAAGCUCUUGAUCGAAGCCCCGGUAAACGGCGGCCGUAACAAUAACGGUCCUAGGUAGCGAAAUUCCUUGUCGGGUAAGUUCCGACCUGCACNAAUGGCGUAACGAUGGCGGCGCGUUCCACCCGAGACUCAGUGAAAUUGAAAUCGCUGUGAAGAUGCAGGUAUCCGCGGCUAGACGGAAAGACCCCGUGAACCUUACUGUAGCUUUGCACUGGACUUUGAGCCGCUUGUGUAGGAUAGGUGGGAGGCUUUGAAGCGUGGACGCCAGUCGCGUGGAGCCAUCCUUGAAAUACCACCUGGCAUGCUUGAGGUUCUAACUCUGGUCCGUAAUCCGGAUCGAGGACAGUGUAUGGUGGCAGGUUUGACUGGGCGGUCUCCUCCUAAAGAGUAACGGAGGAGUACGAAGGUGCGCUCAGACCGGUCGGAAAUCGGUCGCAGAGUAUAAAGCAAAAGCGCGCUUGACUGCGAGACAGUCGUCGAGCAGGUACGAAAGUAGGUCUUAGUGAUCCGGUGGUUCUAUGGAAGGGCCAUCGCUCAACGGAUAAAGGUACCCCGAUAACAGGCUGAUACCGCCCAAGAGUUCAUAUCGACGGCGGUGUUUGGCACCUCGAUGUCGGCUCAUCGCAUCCUGGGCUGAAGCCGGUCCCAAGGGUAUGGCUGUUCGCCAUUUAAAGUGGUACGCGAGCUGGGGAACGUCGUGAGACAGUUCGGUCCCUAUCUGCCGUGGACGUUUGAGAUUUGAGAGGGCUGCUCCUAGUACGAGAGGACCGGAUGGACGAACCUCUGGUGUUCCGGUUGUCACGCCAGUGGCAUUGCCGGGUAGCUAUGUUCGGAAAAAGAUAACCGCUGAAAGCAUCUAAGCGGGAAACUUCCGCCUCAAGAUGAGAUCUCACUGGAACUUGAUUCCCUGAAGGGCCGUCGAAGACUACGACGUUGAUAGGCUGGGUGUGUAAGCGUUGUGAGGCGUUGAGCUAACCAGUACUAAUUGCCCGUGAGGC
This 1595-nucleotide ribosomal RNA is filed under the name metagenome. RNAcentral describes it as "bacterial LSU rRNA". It matches the Rfam family "Bacterial large subunit ribosomal RNA", at positions 1300 to 2917 of the family's 2925-position model. The record is from RNAcentral.